UCUCUCCCUCAACUCUCUCUCUCAGUCCACACCACCACCAGCCACUGCCUCACCGCCGUUGCCCCUCACACUCUCCUCACCUCCGUCACGUCGCCUUGCGCUCCUCACACUCUUCCACUCCUCCAUCGUGCCACCAGCCGCCACCGUGACGCUUCGUCUCUGUUCUCUCGAUCUCCGAUUUCUUCGUGCAUGUACGUUUAUCUCUCAGAUCUAAGAUUUUAGCCCUAAUACCCCACACCAUACUAUGGUUGCUAUUGAAUCCUCCAUCCGUGUGCGGAGGGUUGCUUGCCAUCAACGAUAUUUGGGGUUGCUGGCCUUCAUGCCUCAGAACAAGAGGGAGACUCUGAAUUACAUCAAGGAUAGGGUAUGAUCCCAGUUGCAAGGUUGGAAGGAGCGUUUGUUCUCGAUUGGUAGUAAGGAAGUGUUGCUUAAGGCUGUUAUUCAAGCCAUCCCCUGCUAUUCCAUGAACUGUUUUAAGCUUCCUUCUGGUCUCUUGCAUGAUAUUAGUAUGACGAUGACUCGUUUCUGGUGGGGUGAAUUUAAUGAGGACAAGCGUAUUCAUUGGGUCAGCUGGGACGUUAUGUGGCGACCUAAAUGCUUGGGCGGAAUGGGUUUUCGGGAUCUUAUUUCUUUCAAGAAAGGUCUUCUAGCUAAGCAGGGGUGGAGAAUUCUGCGAAAGCCGUCUUCAUUACUGGCCUUAGCCCUUAAGGGACGGUAUUUUAAAAACAUGUCUUUUUUGGAUGCAGAACUUGGAUCCAACCCAUCUUAUAUUUGGCGGAGCUUGUUAUGGGGUCGUUCUCUUCUUCAUACGGGUCUUCGUUGGCGAAUUGGGGAUGGUUUGAAUAUUCCCAUUUAUGGCUCUAACUGGCUUCCGAGAGAUGGCCGUCUUCAGGUACAAUCUCCUCCUCGUCUUCCUUUAUCUAGCACGGUUUCUAUUCUUAUGACGAGUUAGGGUGCCUAGAAUGAGGGGAUUGUUCGGAGUGCAUUUGAUGAAGAUGAGGCCAAUUUGAUUUUGCGUAUCCCAGUUGGUGUUGAUAGGAAGAAUGAUAUGAGAAUCUGGCACUAUGAUUCCAAGGGCUUGUUCUCAGUUAGAAGCAGAUAUCGAGUUGAUCAGUAUCGAAUUCUUAAUCGGCUUCCUUCUCCAUCCAGAUCAGAUUGUCGGCAAUUAUAGUGGUCGAGUAUGUGGAAAAUGAACAUUCCGGUUAAAAUUAAAAUUUUCUUGUGACGUGCCUGUCUUGAUCGUCUCCCAACAGGUGUUAAUUUGACGGCUCGUGGUGUUGCUGGGUCCAAUUGGUGUUGUUUGUGUGGGCGGAAUGGUGAAGAUCUCCUUCACUCUUUCUACCACUGUAAAAUUGCUGCUCGGGUAUGGAAGGCUUCACGAUUUCGUUUCCUUUUCCCGCCAGCGUUUGGAUUAUCUGUUAUGAAUACUUUGUGGGCGCGUAAGAAGCAUUUGGAUUGAGAGGAUAUGGAGGAGUUUUCCACGGUUUUGUGGGCCAUUUGGAAUUUGAGGAAUGAUUGGUUUUAUAACAAGGUGAGGCGGCGAUCUCUGGAGAACAUGGGAAGCUGUGCGACUGCUUAUUUGCAAGAUUUUUGAAGAGCUAAUGCCCGGGCCCUGUCAAACGAAUCUGCUAAUAGCUCUUUGCCUGAUCGUUGGAAUCCUCCUCCUAAGGGUUGUUACAAAAUUAAUUCUGAUGUUGCUUUUGAUUUGGUGUCGUCAUCAGUUGGUUUGGGUGUGGUUGUUAGGGAUUGCCACGGUCAGGUGAUGCUCUCGGCUGCGACUAGAAUUGAGUUUAUGGCAAGUGUUGAUUUGGCUAAAGUUUCGGCGACAAAAUGGGGUGUUGACUUGUGAGGUAAAUGGGUCUUAGACCUUGCGUGUUAGAAAUGGAUUCAUAUCGAGUUUUUCAGCUGUUGCAAUCGGAGGAGGAAGAUCUGUCGGAUGUCGGGUGGUUUGCUGAGAGGUUGAAUGUGGCAGAAACUGGUAUCUGUUCUUCUUCCUUCAAUUUUGUGAAGAGAGCUAGAAAUAAAGUGGCUCAUAUUCUUGCUAGAUUGGGUUUGUCUAAUAUGGGUAUUUCAAUUUGGUUAGAAGAAGGCCCCGAUGAUAUCCUUCAUGUACUGCUCCAAGAGAGCUCUUGUGUUUCUUUCUGAUUAUUAUUUUUGCCGUAAAAGAAAAGCUAAAGAAGUUUGGUGGGCUUAUUACUUUGUAAAGCCCAUUUGUGGGGGCUUUUAUGUAAGCCCAUAUGUUUUACCUACUUUCUCUUUACUUAUGUUUGUCGUGGGUAUGAGGUAGAGGCGUAGCAGAAAAUACAAAAUACAGCAGAAUCGUCUUCUUCUCUUUGGUGUGUACAGAGCAGUCAAAGGUGACAAAUACAGAAGCUUUCUUCUUGUAUAUUUGUCUUUUGUUCUCAUUUUCUUCGUGGGUUGUUCUGCUUAGAGCUUGAGCUUGUUAUUCUCUCCUCUUCCGUUUGUAUUGUUCUUGGAUAUUGAAGCUGAUAUAAGUUUUCUCUCA
This is a non-coding RNA of Momordica charantia (bitter melon), 2506 nucleotides long. NCBI's taxonomy places the organism in Eukaryota, Viridiplantae, Streptophyta, Magnoliopsida, Cucurbitales, Cucurbitaceae. The record is from RefSeq and is a predicted model, not a curated record.